Molecule: ribosomal RNA, 250 nt
Filed under: uncultured bacterium
Lineage: Bacteria
Description: partial 16S ribosomal RNA
Rfam family: Bacterial small subunit ribosomal RNA
Source: RNAcentral
UGAUUACUAGGUGUUGGGGGUCAAACCUCAGCGCCCAAGCUAACGCGAUAAGUAAUCCGCCUGGGGAGUACGUACGCAAGUAUGAAACUCAAAGGAAUUGACGGGGACCCGCACAAGCGGUGGAGCAUGUGGUUUAAUUCGACGCAACGCGAGGAACCUUACCAGCGUUUGACAUCCUACAAAGAGUGCAGAGAUGUGCUUGUGCUUCUUCGGAAGAAUGUAGUGACAGGUGGUGCAUGGCUGUCGUCAG